This 253-nucleotide ribosomal RNA is filed under the name uncultured bacterium. Its description in RNAcentral is "partial 16S ribosomal RNA". It matches the Rfam family "Bacterial small subunit ribosomal RNA", at positions 524 to 776 of the family's 1533-position model. The record is from RNAcentral.
UACGGAGGGAGCUAGCGUUGUUCGGAAUUACUGGGCGUAAAGCGCGCGUAGGUUGUUCAGCAAGUUGGAAGUGAAAUCCCGGGGCUUAACUCCGGAACUGCUUUCAAAACUGCUAAACUAGAGAAUGGUAGGGGAAAGUGGAAUUCCCGGUGUAGAGGUGAAAUUCGUAGAUAUCGGGAGGAACACCAGAGGCGAAGGCGACUUUCUGGGCCAUUUCUGACACUAAAGCGCGACAGCGUGGGGAGCAAACAGG